UACGUAGGGGGCAAGCGUUGUCCGGAAUUAUUGGGCGUAAAGAGCUUGUAGGCGGUUUGUCGCGUCUGCUGUGAAAUUUCGGGGCUCAACCCCGAACUUGCAGUGGGUACGGGCAGACUAAAGUGUGGUAGGGGAGGCUGGAAUUCCUGGUGUAGCGGUGAAAUGCGCAGAUAUCAGGAGGAACACCGAUGGCGAAGGCAGGUCUCUGGGCCAUAACUGACGCUGAGAAGCGAAAGCAUGGGGAGCGAACAGG
This 253-nucleotide ribosomal RNA is filed under the name uncultured bacterium. Its description in RNAcentral is "partial 16S ribosomal RNA". It matches the Rfam family "Bacterial small subunit ribosomal RNA", at positions 524 to 776 of the family's 1533-position model. The record is from RNAcentral.